GACGAACGCUGGCGGCGUGCUUAACACAUGCAAGUCGAGCGGUAAGGCCCUUUCGGGGGUACACGAGCGGCGAACGGGUGAGUAACACGUGGGUGACCUGCCCUCAGCUCUGGGAUAAGCCUGGGAAACCGGGUCUAAUACCGGAUAUGACUCCAUGACGCAUGUUGUGGGGUGGAAAGCCUUGUGCGGCUGAGGAUGGGCCCGCGGCCUAUCAGCUUGUUGGUGGGGUGAUGGCCUACCAAGGCGACGACGGGUAGCCGGCCUGAGAGGGCGACCGGCCACACUGGGACUGAGACACGG
This 300-nucleotide ribosomal RNA is filed under the name uncultured bacterium. RNAcentral describes it as "bacterial SSU rRNA". It matches the Rfam family "Bacterial small subunit ribosomal RNA", at positions 28 to 329 of the family's 1533-position model. The record is from RNAcentral.